UACGUAGGGUGCGAGCGUUAAUCGGAAUUACUGGGCGUAAAGUGUGCGCAGGCGGCCGCGCAAGUCGAGUGUGAAAGCCCCGGGCUUAACUUGGGAAUUGCGCUCGAAACUACGUGGCUGGAGUGUGGCAGAGGAAGGUGGAAUUCCACGUGUAGCGGUGAAAUGCGUAGAGAUGUGGAGGAACACCAAUGGCGAAGGCACCAUCCUGGGAAGCAUCUGACGCUCAGGUGCGAAAGCUAGGGGAGCGAACGGG
This 253-nucleotide ribosomal RNA is filed under the name uncultured bacterium. RNAcentral's name for it is "partial 16S ribosomal RNA". It matches the Rfam family "Bacterial small subunit ribosomal RNA", at positions 524 to 776 of the family's 1533-position model. The record is from RNAcentral.